This 286-nucleotide unclassified non-coding RNA is filed under the name Hevea brasiliensis (rubber tree). The record is from RNAcentral. Lineage: Eukaryota; Viridiplantae; Streptophyta; Magnoliopsida; Malpighiales; Euphorbiaceae.
GCCAGCCCCUGUAUAAUUGGUGUACAGGUGGAAGACGUUGAAUAGAUGGCUGGAAAUUAAAUUUUCCAUCCCCGAAAAGUCGAAAACAGGUUGAUAUAUCAGCUGUAUACAUUGAUAUACAGCCACAAUAUACGAUAUACAGGUAAAAAAAAAAGUGGAAGUACAGGUGAAAUGCAGAGAAUAUAAAGUUCGACGAAAUACAGGUUUCGAAAGGCCCAAAAUUGAUUGAACAUGGCUCGUAUACAGUGAUAUACGCAAAAUGUAUACCUUAAACAAUUCCCCAGCA